Long non-coding RNA from Macaca nemestrina (pig-tailed macaque), 1707 nucleotides. The record is from Ensembl. NCBI's taxonomy places the organism in Eukaryota, Metazoa, Chordata, Mammalia, Primates, Cercopithecidae.
AUGUUAAGUUGAGAGGAAUUUUCUAGGAUGGUGAGUUUUAUUUUUUCUCUAGUAAUAAUGAUAGAUGGAAUGCUCUAACUCAGGUUUAUUGCUUUUGGUGAUAUAAUGAUGUUGGCCAACAGGCAUCCAAGUGGCACAAAUCAGUGGAGGUUGAUGAGUAUUUUAAAGACAUUUAUUUUGCAUAUUUUCAUACCUCAUAAUAACAAGAUCUGUGACUGAUAUUUAGAUUUGAAAAACCUUUUUAAAAUGAGAAACAUUCGUGAUUAUUUCUGGCCUUAGAGUUCAAAAUAGAUGUACUACUUUGAAAGCAAAAAUUAAAUGGAAUCUUAAUGUAUCUAUUCAAAUGAUAGAGCAAUGGAAUGCUUUUUAUGAAACGUUAUUUGAAAUAUAUGUUUUCUGAGGUAAUGUUCUCUGUUUAUAUAAUGGCAAUGUUAUAUUCUUAAUAGAUAUUUGUGCUACUUGGCUCCUAUUGAGUAUCUUUUAUUGAAGUUUACCUAGAUGCCUAAAUUUGCCAAUUUGAUUUUUUUUCUGGGGGUGCAAUCAGACCCUGAUUGUAAUAUCAGUUUAAAUCUUUUUUUUGUUUGUAACUAUUUUGAAGCUGACUUAAUGAAGGAAAAUAAAAAUCACUGCACAUGUGUGUGGGAGAGAGAGCAAGAGAGAGAGAGCUAUGAAAGCAGAAAUCGCUUGUUUUUCCCCAAAGAAGAUGAGUUAUAAAAGAAAGGAUGAGACUGAGAGUCGGAGCGGUCAGAAGGUCUGCCUUGGCCAAUCAAUAGAUACUUGCAAAAAAGACACUUCUGCAUAUGAAGUCACCUAUUGAUUGUUUAAAACCGUACUCUUCCUCCUAAUCCUUUUGAUUCAUUAUCAUUAAUGGAGUGAAGUAAGUUUGUUAAUAUCUAAUUUUGGGGGAUGCUUGUUUGUGAAAGAAAAUCAAAGUGACUGCUUUAGACCUCUGAAUUUGGAAAGCAGGUCGUAUGAAAGUAGAGAGCCUCUUUAAUUUGAUCUUCUAUUAGCUGCUGUCAGUGUCCUUCAAUCUUUGAUUAACCCCCUCCUGUCAGCUCCAUGGGAAGCAGUACACGAUCCACAAUCUUUUCUUCAGUCCUAGUCAGUGGGCUCGCCAGGGACCUUGCUCAGCCUCAGUUUUUGCCUGCCUUCUUCUCUGGACAUCUUCUUAGAUCCUUGGCCUCUGUUGUUGUCCUAAGAGUGUCAUCAGUUGCUCUGUCAGGUGUGGUCUAAUCAAGAUGUUCUUUUUAAGCACCUACAUUGUCCCUGAAAACAUACUAAAUGUAGAGGUAAUGCUGAGUUAAGGCAAAAUUAUUGUAGAUGUAACUUAUGGAUACCUUGAACUUGAGGAACAUAAUACACUUUCAAAAUAAGGUACAUACCACACAGUGGCAGAAAAUAUGAUUUCACAAAAGAAAUCAAGUCAUCUCUCAUGUUUUCUUAGCGUUCUUUUUAACAUUUGUCCGUUUCUCAUUAUACAUUUUCACGAUUACUUAAUUCAUGGCCUAAAAGUAUGUUUUAUGAGAGCAUGGUCUGUGACUGGUUUGCUGUAUUUAGACUCUGAAUCCAGUGUCUUAUAAGUGCUUCCAAAAUAUAAGUUGAAGGAGUUCUGAAAAAAGAUACAUGACUGAGAAAUGGAGAGUCACGAGUACUCUCGUUGACACAUCGUACACACGUUGUUUUUCUGACCGUUCCCUGACUUUUCUG